GUCGGUCUCUGCCUGACAGGGGCGUGGUUGUCUGAGGGGAAGUUGCCCCUAGUACGAGAGGAACAGGGCAGCGCAGCCUCUGGUUUAUCAGCUGUCCGACAGGGCAAGCUGAGCAGCUAAGCUGCUUUGGAUAACUCCUGAAAGCAUCUAAGGAGGAAGCCUUUCCCGAGAAAAGACAGCCUUCCGUAAGGAGGAGGGCGGCUAUAGAAGAUAGCGUUGAUGGGAUGGAGGUGUAAGCAUCAAGCUAUGGCGAGAUGUUCAGCCUGCCAUUUCCAAUAGCCCAAGGCACCUGAAAU
Molecule: ribosomal RNA, 296 nt
Filed under: Thermoproteota archaeon
Lineage: Archaea; Thermoproteati; Thermoproteota
Description: partial 23S ribosomal RNA
Rfam family: Archaeal large subunit ribosomal RNA
Source: RNAcentral